RNAcentral lists this ribosomal RNA (652 nucleotides) under uncultured bacterium. RNAcentral's name for it is "bacterial SSU rRNA". It matches the Rfam family "Bacterial small subunit ribosomal RNA", at positions 274 to 917 of the family's 1533-position model. The record is from RNAcentral.
CAACGAUGCAUAGCCGACCUGAGAGGGUGAUCGCCCACACUGGAACUGAGACACGGUCCAGACUCCUACGGGAGGCAGCAGUAGGGAAUCUUCCGCAAUGGGCGAAAGCCUGACGGAGCAACGCCGCGUGAGUGAUGAAGGUCUUCGGAUCGUAAAACUCUGUUAUUAGGGAAGAACAUAUGUGUAAGUAACUGUGCACAUCUUGACGGUACCUAAUCAGAAAGCCACGGCUAACUACGUGCCAGCAGCCGCGGUAAUACGUAGGUGGCAAGCGUUAUCCGGAAUUAUUGGGCGUAAAGCGCGCGUAGGCGGUUUUUUAAGUCUGAUGUGAAAGCCCACGGCUCAACCGUGGAGGGUCAUUGGAAACUGGAAAACUUGAGUGCAGAAGAGGAAAGUGGAAUUCCAUGUGUAGCGGUGAAAUGCGCAGAGAUAUGGAGGAACACCAGUGGCGAAGGCGACUUUCUGGUCUGUAACUGACGCUGAUGUGCGAAAGCGUGGGGAUCAAACAGGAUUAGAUACCCUGGUAGUCCACGCCGUAAACGAUGAGUGCUAAGUGUUAGGGGGUUUCCGCCCCUUAGUGCUGCAGCUAACGCAUUAAGCACUCCGCCUGGGGAGUACGACCGCAAGGUUGAAACUCAAAGGAAUUGACGGC